CCUACGGGAGGCAGCAGUGAGGAAUAUUGGUCAAUGGGCGCGAGCCUGAACCAGCCAAGUAGCGUGAAGGAUGACUGCCCUACGGGUUGUAAACUUCUUUUAUAAAGGAAUAAAGUUAUCCACGUGUGCCUUUUUGUAUGUACUUUAUGAAUAAGCAUCGGCUAACUCCGUGCCAGCAGCCGCGGUAAUACGGAGGAUCCGAGCGUUAUCCGGAUUUAUUGGGUUUAAAGGGAGCGUAGAUGGGUUGUUAAGUCAGCUGUGAAAGUUUGCGGCUCAACCGUAAAAUUGCAAUUGAAACUGGCAGCCUUGAGUACAUUUGAGGUAGGCGGAAUUCGUGGUGUAGCGGUGAAAUGCUUAGAUAUCACGAAGAACUCCGAUUGCGAAGGCAGCUUACUAAGCUGCCACUGACAUUGAUGCUCGAAAGUGUGGGUAUCAAACAGGAUUAGAUACCCUAGUAGUC
RNAcentral lists this ribosomal RNA (460 nucleotides) under uncultured bacterium. RNAcentral describes it as "partial 16S ribosomal RNA". It matches the Rfam family "Bacterial small subunit ribosomal RNA", at positions 338 to 795 of the family's 1533-position model. The record is from RNAcentral.